GGAUUAGAUACCCUGGUAGUCCACGCCGUAAACGAUGAUCACUAGGUGUUGCGGGUAUUGACCCCUGCAGUGCCGACGCUAACGCAUUAAGUGAUCCGCCUGGGGACUACGGCCGCAAGGCUAAAACUCAAAGGAAUUGACGGGGGCCCGCACAAGCGGUGGAGUAUGUGGUUUAAUUCGACGCAACGCGCAGAACCUUACCCGGCCUUGACAUCGAGGGAAAGCCUCUAGAAAUAGAGGCCCUCCCCUUCGGGGGACCCGAAGACAGGUGCUGCAUGGCUGUCGUCAGCUCGUGCUG
RNAcentral lists this ribosomal RNA (298 nucleotides) under uncultured bacterium. RNAcentral describes it as "partial 16S ribosomal RNA". It matches the Rfam family "Bacterial small subunit ribosomal RNA", at positions 775 to 1067 of the family's 1533-position model. The record is from RNAcentral.